Molecule: ribosomal RNA, 404 nt
Filed under: Fusobacteriota bacterium
Lineage: Bacteria; Fusobacteriati; Fusobacteriota
Description: Fusobacteria bacterium partial 16S ribosomal RNA
Rfam family: Bacterial small subunit ribosomal RNA
Source: RNAcentral
UGGGGAAUAUUGCACAAUGGAGGGAACUCUGAUGCAGCGACGCCGCGUGAGUGAUGAAGGAAUUCGUUUCGUAAAACUCUGUUCUAUGGGAAGAAAAGGACUGUACCAUAGGAGAAAGCUCCGGCUAAAUACGUGCCAGCAGCCGCGGUAAUACGUAUGGAGCGAGCGUUGUCCGGAAUUAUUGGGCGUAAAGGGUGCGCAGGCGGCUUUACAAGUUGGAUGUGAAAUAUUGUGGCUCAACCACAAACGUGCAUCCAAAACUGCAAAGCUUGCGUUAAGGAGAGGUAAGGGGAAUUCCUGGUGUCGCGGUGGAAUGCGUAGAUAUCAGGAGUAAUACCGGUGGCGAAGGCGACUUACUGGACUUAAACUGACGCUCAGGCACGAAAGCGUGGGGAGCAAACAGG